This is a long non-coding RNA of Bubalus bubalis (water buffalo), 2953 nucleotides long. RefSeq lists it as uncharacterized. The record is from RefSeq and is a predicted model, not a curated record. The transcript is spliced from 2 exons. Lineage: Eukaryota; Metazoa; Chordata; Mammalia; Artiodactyla; Bovidae.
GUCUGUUUUUAAAUUUGCAAUGUAAUAGAAAUGGCAUCUAUAACUCAAAUUGGCAAUUAACCAGAAAUCUUGAGGAUUUCACUGAAACUUGGAAGGUGACUAUUGAUUUUUCUGCAUAAAGUGUAAAUGGCUGCUAGAACAAAUUUGCAUCUUAAGUCACCAUAGGAGCCUAUCAGCACUACAACAGAUACAUUAAUAUUGCUUAGAAGUUAAAUCUGAGCGAUAGGUCAGCCAAUGUAGUCCAUCUUGGUAUUACUUAGGAUCAGAAGGAGGAGCUGAAUAUUAAUCCUUGAUGUAAGCCAACUUGAAGGAAAUAUGUUUGUUAGUUGACUGAUUGUAUAGACUCCUGGCCUCUUCUUUUUUUCUAAUUCUUUUGUUGUAAUUUGGCAGCAUAAGCUUGGUAUAAAGUGAGACCAGACAGUUAAGAGGCUCAGUUAUGUUUAACCAAAGCUUGUCUUUGUUUAAAAAAAUGCUCAUUUUUUACAGGAUAUUAUAGUAUAUCGAAUCUUCUUAUUAUUGAUCUGUAACAACUCUGAGAAUGGAGUGAUAUUUUCCUUUAAAAACAAGGAAUGGUGAUUCAAAAAACCUCUCAUCUACCCAAGCAUAGGUUCAGUUUCAAUGCUUAAGCCUAAGUCUCAGACCUUCCAAAACAGGCUUCAAGUGAAAUUACUUGUAAUUUUGAAUGACUUCUUAAAACUUUUUUAUUUAUUUAACAAUUUCUUGAGUAUCAGCUGUUAGCAGGGCACAGAAAUGAGAUUCAUAAUUCAGUGACAUCAUGGAGUUAAAUGUCUAUCAGGGAGAUCAAUGUUAAAAUAAUCACAAAGCCUAAUAGUUGAUGUUACUUACAAGGAUUUUAUUUAGUUUAGAGGUUCAGAUAAUGCCUCUGAGUAAGUGAGUUUCUGGACUUGAACAUAAAUUAUGAGAAACCACCUAGAUAUAACUCAAGAAAAAAGAUGUCAGUCUAGAAUGAUGGGAAGAAUGUUUAUCUGGGAACCUCCUGUAGAACUGUCAAGCAAACCUCUGUGAUCAAAAAGGUCAUAGGAACUAGAGCAACAGCAGAUUGGGAAGUGGUGAAUGUCUUGCAUGGUGGAGUACUGUAGAGAAUGGCAUGCUUAUGAAACUUCACACAAAUACCUAGGCUCAGUGAGAUGGGAAGGAGGAGGGGCUGCAGAUAUUCAUCUCUACCCCACCUUUAUGAGAAUCAAAAUGCAUAACAUAGCAUUUUAGCAACCCUAAAAAACCUGCAGUGGAGAAGCUCAUUUACUAUUCUUUCAAGUAGGAAGUCCUGACUCAUUUGUCUGUGAAACCUUUCAUUCUUUGUAAUGUUUGUUACUAUUGUAAAGAUAAACUUUUUGAAAUACCAGAUUAGAUAAUCCUGAAAGGUCUGCCCUUGCUCUGAGGGUAUUUGGUUGCUAGGCAACUUUGCCCCUCCUUCAUGAGAAGCUCCCUUCCCAAAGUAAAUUGACAUCUGAACAACCUUCUUUCCAACAACAUUCAAACAACUAGUAUACUGGAAGAGGUCAAAACACUCAAUGUAUGUAAAAUUCCAGUGAGAUGAGAUAGCCAGGGAAGCACUGAAUGUUUAAUGAGCUUCUGUAGACUUAUAGAAAGUUCUAAAAAAUGAAAUGAAGAAAAACAGGAGUAAUCUUAAGUCUCCUUUACAUUAGACUUUGUGCAUUCUAGGAAUUUUGGGCUUGUAGAAAUAAAAUGCAAGUUUUAGUUAAACUAACAGUAAAUUUAAAUGAUAAAUAACAUCAAAGUGAUGAUAUCUGUAAAAGAAUGUUAAUGGUGCUAAUUAUGUGCUCAUUAGACUUUGCCAGUGUGUUUCUACAUAUGACUCCAUAUUCAUAAGUCAUGAAAUAGAUUUAUUUCUACUCGAUAAAACCAACCUGUUUAAAAAUUUUGAAAUCUCACAGCAGUUGCUCUGAAAGAGAUGAAGAGCAGCAGAAAUCUAAAUUACCUAGACUUUAUGAGCAGUUUCUUAACCCAUCUGUGCCUCCCUCCAACAUUUAUAAGAAUAGUUUUUUGCAUUUCAAGUAAAACUCAUGCUGUAAGCUAAGUGACAUGCCUUAAAUCGUAAUUUGUAUCACAAAAUCACUUGAACAAUAUUUUUCUGUACUGUGUCUCAAAAGAAGAAGAAGGAAAGGAAAAGAAAAAAACCCCAAAAAAUGACCUUUAACUUUAAAAACUUCACCAUUUGAAAGCCUGGUUAUUAAGAAAAAAGGCAUAAGAUGUGGUUCCCCCAUCAUAUCUGAUAUGGGGAUGGGAUCAGGGCACAAAACACAUUGUCAUGUAUAUAUAAGAUGCAGUGGGUGGGCACAAGUGAAACUGAAGUAGAAGGAUCAGUGAGGGAAAGCUUUGUAAAGAAUCUGAACUCGAGUUAGGUCUUUGAAGUAUGUAGGAGACUAGAGAGUAGUAGUUAGGCUAAAAGCAAGUGACCCACCUCCAUUGUGGGUCAUUUUGAAAGUCUGGUUAAUGAAGUUUAUUUUGAUAUAGGGGAGCAGCAGGAAGUCCCCACAGGCUUUAAGCAGGGAGUCCCAGGGUUUGGUAGGCUGGAAUGGUUAGGCAAGAUGAGUUACCUGAAUAAAAGCUAGUCUACUGAACUCAAUAUUUAAAAUCUGCGCAGACACCUUCUUGGUUGCCUGCUUGCCCUGCCUACUGGAGCCUCUUAAGAGCAGGGGCUGUAUUUCAUGUUCAUGUCACCAGUUCUUGUCUCUCAGGUGCCCACAUGACAGCCAACUGGAUGAAGUGUUUACAGUUUACAGUCCAGUGCAGAAGGAAAUAAAUGCUGACGGAGGAGGGUGACUAUUCAGAAGUCUAACAUUGUGGCUCCUGUUUCGUGUCCUCAGAACUUCUUCUGAAGUAUUUGAAGGAGAACUCUACCAGCUGUGAACACCCAACUGUUCUAAUCCAGAGGUGGCUCAUAAUAAAUGAAUAAAUAUUGAAAUCACAA